UACAGAGGUCCCGAGCGUUGUUCGGAUUCAUUGGGCGUAAAGGGUGCGUAGGCGGCGGGGUAAGUUUGAUGUGAAAUCCCGGGGCUCAACCCUGGAAUGGCAUUGAAUACUACCUUGCUAGAGUACCGGAGAGGAAGCUGGAAUUUACGGUGUAGCAGUGAAAUGCGUAGAGAUCGUAAGGAAGACCAGUGGCGAAGGCGAGUUUCUGGACGGUAACUGACGCUGAGGCACGAAGGCCAGGGGAG
Molecule: ribosomal RNA, 245 nt
Filed under: uncultured bacterium
Lineage: Bacteria
Description: partial 16S ribosomal RNA
Rfam family: Bacterial small subunit ribosomal RNA
Source: RNAcentral